CUUGAAGAGCGUUUUUGUGGCCGUCAUGAAGUCGCUCUUGUGGUUGUGUCCAGAAAAUCCACUGAUGUGUCGCUGGUGGUGGAUUUCAGCUUGAUGGACGGGUUGUGACUAUUCAAGGAUGCCAGGGCAGAGGUCUC
Molecule: long non-coding RNA, 137 nt
Organism: Larimichthys crocea (large yellow croaker)
Lineage: Eukaryota; Metazoa; Chordata; Actinopteri; Sciaenidae
Exons: 3
Source: RefSeq, a predicted model, not a curated record